UACGGAGGAUCCAAGCGUUAUCCGGAUUUAUUGGGUUUAAAGGGUGCGUAGGCGGCUCAUUAAGUCAGGGGUGAAAGACGGUAGCUUAACUAUCGCAGUGCCUUUGAUACUGAUGAGCUUGAAUGUAGUUGAGGUAGGCGGAAUGUGACAAGUAGCGGUGAAAUGCAUAGAUAUGUCACAGAACACCAAUUGCGAAGGCAGCUUACUAAAGUACGAUUGACGCUGAGGCACGAAAGCGUGGGGAUCAAACAGGAUUAGAUACCCGUAG
Molecule: ribosomal RNA, 268 nt
Filed under: uncultured bacterium
Lineage: Bacteria
Description: partial 16S ribosomal RNA
Rfam family: Bacterial small subunit ribosomal RNA
Source: RNAcentral